GCAUAUCAAUAAGCGGAGGAAAAGAAACCAACAGGGAUUGCCUCAGUAACGGCGAGUGAAGCGGCAACAGCUCAAAUUUGAAAUCUGGCUCUUUCAGGGUCCGAGUUGUAAUUUGUAGAAGAUGCUUCGAGUGUUAGCCUGGUCUAAGUUCCUUGGAACAGGACGUCAUAGAGGGUGAGAAUCCCGUAUGUGACUAGUGCUCUCGCUCAUGUGAAGCUCUUUCGACGAGUCGAGUUGUUUGGGAAUGCAGCUCAAAAUGGGUGGUAAAUUUCAUCUAAAGCUAAAUAUUGGCCAGAGACCGAUAGCGCACAAGUAGAGUGAUCGAAAGAUGAAAAGCACUUUGGAAAGAGAGUUAAACAGUACGUGAAAUUGUUGAAAGGGAAGCGCUUGCAACUAGACUUGCAUGCCGUCGAUCAUCCGAGGUUUUCCCCGGUGCACUCGGCGGUGUUCAGGCCAGCAUCGGUUUGGGUGGUUGGAUAAAGGCCUUGGGAAUGUAGCUUCUUUCGAGGAGUGUUAUAGCCCUCGGUGCAAUGCAGCCUACCUGGACCGAGGACCGCGCUCUGC
This 564-nucleotide ribosomal RNA is filed under the name Haplographium delicatum. RNAcentral's name for it is "eukaryotic LSU rRNA". It matches the Rfam family "Eukaryotic large subunit ribosomal RNA", at positions 38 to 605 of the family's 3401-position model. Lineage: Eukaryota; Fungi; Ascomycota; Leotiomycetes; Helotiales; Hyaloscyphaceae. The record is from RNAcentral.